GAGAAGUGAAGCCAUGGAAAUAUCAAAAAUAAUAUUGUUUUUAUUUGGAUUUUCUGUAUUUUUCUUCUGGGGAAUAUGUGAAAAAAUAUGUGGACCUCCAAAAUCAGAUGGUACACAAACAUGCUGCCCUUAUUUUCAGGCAAUAGGUACAGAUUGUGUGGAAUGUCCAGUAGGAUACUUUGGUAUGAACUGCAAUAUUUCCUGCUUUUACCCAGCAUAUGGUAGAAGAUGUCAGAACAGGUGUUAUUGUUCCAAUGAAGAUUGCGAUAACGUAAUAGG
Saccostrea cuccullata (small rock oyster) is the source of this 279-nucleotide long non-coding RNA. RefSeq lists it as uncharacterized. NCBI's taxonomy places the organism in Eukaryota, Metazoa, Mollusca, Bivalvia, Ostreida, Ostreidae. The transcript has 3 exons. The record is from RefSeq and is a predicted model, not a curated record.